AGAGUUUGAUCCUGGCUCAGAUUGAACGCUGGCGGCAGGCCUAACACAUGCAAGUCGAGCGGAAACGAGUUAUCUGAACCUUCGGGGAACGAUAACGGCGUCGAGCGGCGGACGGGUGAGUAAUGCCUAGGAAAUUGCCCUGAUGUGGGGGAUAACCAUUGGAAACGAUGGCUAAUACCGCAUGAUGCCUACGGGCCAAAGAGGGGGACCUUCGGGCCUCUCGCGUCAGGAUAUGCCUAGGUGGGAUUAGCUAGUUGGUGAGGUAAGGGCUCACCAAGGCGACGAUCCCUAGCUGGUCUGAGAGGAUGAUCAGCCACACUGGAACUGAGACACGGUCCAGACUCCUACGGGAGGCAGCAGUGGGGAAUAUUGCACAAUGGGCGCAAGCCUGAUGCAGCCAUGCCGCGUGUGUGAAGAAGGCCUUCGGGUUGUAAAGCACUUUCAGUCGUGAGGAAGGUGGUGUAGUUAAUAGCUGCAUUAUUUGACGUUAGCGACAGAAGAAGCACCGGCUAACUCCGUGCCAGCAGCCGCGGUAAUACGGAGGGUGCGAGCGUUAAUCGGAAUUACUGGGCGUAAAGCGCAUGCAGGUGGUUUGUUAAGUCAGAUGUGAAAGCCCGGGGCUCAACCUCGGAAUAGCAUUUGAAACUGGCAGACUAGAGUACUGUAGAGGGGGGUAGAAUUUCAGGUGUAGCGGUGAAAUGCGUAGAGAUCUGAAGGAAUACCGGUGGCGAAGGCGGCCCCCUGGACAGAUACUGACACUCAGAUGCGAAAGCGUGGGGAGCAAACAGGAUUAGAUACCCUGGUAGUCCACGCCGUAAACGAUGUCUACUUGGAGGUUGUGGCCUUGAGCCGUGGCUUUCGGAGCUAACGCGUUAAGUAGACCGCCUGGGGAGUACGGUCGCAAGAUUAAAACUCAAAUGAAUUGACGGGGGCCCGCACAAGCGGUGGAGCAUGUGGUUUAAUUCGAUGCAACGCGAAGAACCUUACCUACUCUUGACAUCCAGAGAACUUUCCAGAGAUGGAUUGGUGCCUUCGGGAACUCUGAGACAGGUGCUGCAUGGCUGUCGUCAGCUCGUGUUGUGAAAUGUUGGGUUAAGUCCCGCAACGAGCGCAACCCUUAUCCUUGUUUGCCAGCGAGUAAUGUCGGGAACUCCAGGGAGACUGCCGGUGAUAAACCGGAGGAAGGUGGGGACGACGUCAAGUCAUCAUGGCCCUUACGAGUAGGGCUACACACGUGCUACAAUGGCGCAUACAGAGGGCGGCCAACUUGCGAAAGUGAGCGAAUCCCAAAAAGUGCGUCGUAGUCCGGAUUGGAGUCUGCAACUCGACUCCAUGAAGUCGGAAUCGCUAGUAAUCGUGGAUCAGAAUGCCACGGUGAAUACGUUCCCGGGCCUUGUACACACCGCCCGUCACACCAUGGGAGUGGGCUGCAAAAGAAGUAGGUAGUUUAACCUUCGGGGGGACGCUUACCACUUUGUGGUUCAUGACUGGGGUGAAGUCGUAACAAGGUAGCCGU
RNAcentral lists this ribosomal RNA (1516 nucleotides) under Vibrio parahaemolyticus. RNAcentral's name for it is "bacterial SSU rRNA". It matches the Rfam family "Bacterial small subunit ribosomal RNA". The record is from RNAcentral. Lineage: Bacteria; Pseudomonadati; Pseudomonadota; Gammaproteobacteria; Vibrionales; Vibrionaceae.